This 25-nucleotide small RNA is filed under the name Arabidopsis thaliana (thale cress). Its description in RNAcentral is "ATSL045890". The record is from RNAcentral. Lineage: Eukaryota; Viridiplantae; Streptophyta; Magnoliopsida; Brassicales; Brassicaceae.
CUUGAUCAGCCUCUUCCACAUCCAG